GACACUUUGGCCGAGUGGUUAAGGCGCCGGCCUGCUAAGCCGGUGGGCUCUGCCCGCGUGGGUUCGAACCCCACAGGUGUCG
Molecule: transfer RNA, 82 nt
Filed under: Amoebophrya sp. A25
Lineage: Eukaryota; Dinophyceae; Syndiniales; Amoebophryaceae
Also listed under: 2 other names
Rfam family: tRNA
About the family: Transfer RNA (tRNA) molecules are approximately 80 nucleotides in length. Their secondary structure includes four short double-helical elements and three loops (D, anti-codon, and T loops).
Source: Rfam by way of RNAcentral